Molecule: RNA transcript, 1492 nt
Organism: Monodelphis domestica (gray short-tailed opossum)
Lineage: Eukaryota; Metazoa; Chordata; Mammalia; Didelphimorphia; Didelphidae
Gene name: beta-microseminoprotein-like
Source: RefSeq, a predicted model, not a curated record
UCUGAAUGAUCUGAAGCAGAGAAUCGAAGGCAGGAAAAUAAUAUAGAUAAGUAGUAGAGAAAUGACAGAAAAGAAGUAAAUCUUUAAUAGUCUUCUAAACAAAGAUGAAAUGCGAUCAUCAAUGUUGUUUCCAAAGCAUAGAAGACAAAUAAUACUAUACCAGGUAUUCUUCUCAUCUGGACUAUCUUUGGGACAUUAUAUGAGGAGGUCAAUACGGAGUUUCAAUCAUAUGGUUGCAAAGAUCACAAUGGUAAAAUUCAUGGAUUGUUCUUCUCCUGGAUUAAUGAGGACUGUGAAGUAUGUCAUUGUUUCGUAGCAGGAAUGAAAUGCGCUCGCCUUAUUGCAAGGCCUAUCGGUUAUGACAAAGAUAAAUGUGAGGAAAUUUUCGACAAAGAAUCAUGUCGUUACGAAGCUGUAGAGAAAGAUAAUCCCUCUCAAAGCUGUGACGUCUCAAAAUAUGCUUUUUAGUCCUUCUACCUCCUUCUGUUUUUGCUGCCAAAGUCAUCACCUCCCAAUGGAAAUUGUCCUCCCUUCAAGCAAUGACUCUCUACUCAGAAGUCAGAACAACAGAAGACUGUGAGCUAUGUGGGCAGGACCUUGGAUUUCCAUUCUCCUGAAGGUUUUGUCAAGUCUCAGGCACCCUGAUUCACACCACAAAGUGUCACCUCUCUGCCUCUUAAAAUCCUUUAGACACCUAAGUUGUACAAAUCCCACCUGUAACCUCUUGUCUAAUGAAUAUCACAAGAAAAUAUACGUUUCUCUAGCAUGAAAUGGAAUUCUGUUCUUUUCCUUUAUAGCAAUCGACAUCUAAAAUCAUUAUGGUUGUGGGAGAUUUCAUUAUGGUCUUUCUCUGAGGUAGUCCCUAGGAAGUACUCUUUGGGGCUCAAAGGUUGAAUGCCUAUUUUUUUUUUUUGCAUCUACUCACCUCUCAGAUCCCUAUUUGAGAAUCUUGGCACCACCAACCUGGUAGAAUCAGGAUUUGAAAGAAUGUAGGAGAAAAUAGAAAGAUAGUUACCAUGUUCAAGGUGGUAUAUUUACCAAUGAUGAUGACUUUCAGUUGGGUAAUGACACAAAAGAUAUCAAGUAUGUGUAGGAAUAAUCGGGUCCUUAAGUAGCACAGAUUGAAAGGUCCCCUACAUUAUAGAGACCCCAAGUAAAGGAUCAAAUACAUUGAAGAUACCUGAAUGAACUAGAAAUGGCCUAGGUCUGUACCUAGGAUAUGUUUCAUCUAAGCAAGACAUGUUAAGAGAUGUCCUCUUAGGUAUCUUUUCCUGUAUCUUAUCGCUAUCCCUGAAUACUGCAAUCCCAGAGCAGAUUGUACCCACUAGAUGAAUAUCUUGACAGGAUGCAUUGUUCUUCUCAAGACUCUCUGUGUUUGGAUAUAUGUUCCUAUGAAAAUAUUACAUGUAAUCAAGUGGAUGGAUAUGUUUACCUAGGAACACAACUGCCUACAAAUAUCAUUACUCCCCUCAAUAAAGUUGCCUUUGAUUUC